AGCGAACGCUGGCGGCAGGCCUAACACAUGCAAGUCGAACGAACCUUUCGGGGUUAGUGGCGGACGGGUGAGUAACACGUGGGAACGUGCCUUUAGGUUCGGAAUAACUCAGGGAAACUUGUGCUAAUACCGAAUGUGCCCUUCGGGGGAAAGAUUAAUCGCCUUUAGAGCGGCCCGCGUCUGAUUAGCUAGUUGGUUGAGGUAAUGGCUCACCAAGGCGACGAUCAGUAGCUGGUCUGGGAGGAUGAUCAGCCACAUUGGGACUGUGACAGGGCCCAAACUCCUACGGGAGGCAGCAGUGGGGAAUCUUGCGCAAUGGGCGAAAGCCUGACGCAGCCAUGCCGCGUGAAUGAUGAAGGUCUUAGGAUUGUAAAAUUCUUUCACCGGGGACGAUAAGGACGGUACCCGGAGAAGAAGCCCCGGCUAACUUCGU
This 433-nucleotide ribosomal RNA is filed under the name uncultured bacterium. RNAcentral's name for it is "partial 16S ribosomal RNA". It matches the Rfam family "Bacterial small subunit ribosomal RNA", at positions 29 to 506 of the family's 1533-position model. The record is from RNAcentral.